This 641-nucleotide long non-coding RNA is filed under the name Monodelphis domestica (gray short-tailed opossum). RNAcentral's name for it is "lncRNA (ENSMODG00000048072.1)". The record is from RNAcentral. Lineage: Eukaryota; Metazoa; Chordata; Mammalia; Didelphimorphia; Didelphidae.
GUAGUAGUAGUAGUAGGAGUAGGAGUAGGAGUAGGAGUAGUAGUAGUAGUAGUAGUAGUGAUAGUCUCUCUGUAACCAAGGAUGAUGCUUGUCUUUGUGUGUUUUUGUGCACAGACACUUGUGCAUGAAGAUUUAAGUGGAAAAGUCGAUGCACAGACAGUCCCACUCUCUCGGCAUUGGAAGCCUGGGUCUGGUGGCACGAAAAGUCGUUACAUCUGGAGACUUCCUCAGCUGCAUUGGAUGGCCGUGUUGUCUUUUGUGCUCCAACACGCCCUAAGCACUCCACAGUGCCUUGCUGCGUCGCCAUCUCAGCUGUUGAACCUUAUUAGUUUCUUCCGCCUGUUCCGCCGAAGCAGUCUUCACAUGCUGGGGAAAUUUGGAUACACAAAAGAUCAUCAGGAAAGAAAUGAUCUCAGCAUGGAUCCAUUCUCAUCUGUACUCAUUCCUGUCUUAGUCUGUUGAAAGCUAACGGUCAGGAGAGACCAUCAAAGAGAACAGGCAUAAUUAAAAACAUACAGGGGUUCAGCUGCAGUUCAGGAAGGUGGCUCAGAAGAUAUUCGAGGGAUUGCAAAGAAAAUCUCCUGCCAGUAAGAUAUUUGACUUGUAUUUUUGUUUUGUCUUUGGACUGGUUUUUGAUUUGG